Molecule: ribosomal RNA, 253 nt
Filed under: uncultured bacterium
Lineage: Bacteria
Description: partial 16S ribosomal RNA
Rfam family: Bacterial small subunit ribosomal RNA
Source: RNAcentral
UACAUGGGGUGCAAGCGUUGCUCGGAAUCAUUGGGCGUAAAGCGCACGUAGGCGGCCAACUAAGUCAAACGUGAAAUCCCUCGGCUUAACCGGGGAACUGCGUCUGAUACUGGAUGGCUUGAGUUUGGGAGAGGGAUGCGGAAUUCCAGGUGUAGCGGUGAAAUGCGUAGAUAUCUGGAGGAACACCGGUGGCGAAGGCGGCAUCCUGGACCAACACUGACGCUGAGGAGCGAAAGCCAGGGGAGCAAACGGG